This 1000-nucleotide long non-coding RNA is filed under the name Mus spicilegus (steppe mouse). RNAcentral describes it as "lncRNA (ENSMSIG00000026435.1)". The record is from RNAcentral. Lineage: Eukaryota; Metazoa; Chordata; Mammalia; Rodentia; Muridae.
AAAGAAAUGUCAGAGUUGUUAAAAUUGACAGAACCAUUUUCUGUGCUUGCAGUUGAGAAGAAGAAAAAGAAAAUCCAUGCUAUUGCUGUAGUCACAUCUCCAACCACCAGUGUUACAGCCACUGUGUGCGCUAAACAAGUGCAGGAGUGAAGAUGGAAAAUCCAUUAAAUCUGUGCAUGGGUGGUUUUCAGAAUACCUGCAUUUUCAGACAUCUGCUGAGGUGGUUGAAAGAUCUGUCUUUGCUGAAGUGUGCUCUGUCACAUCCCUCCUGCCCACCGCACACACCUACGCCUGAGCCCAGCUUAAGCUUCUGCACUGUGACAUCAAGCAUCUCUCUUUGGGCCUUAGAUUGCAGAGACAAAAACAAGGAUUGACUCAUCGGGGCAGCUGCCCAUGUUACUCACACGGCUGAGAAGCUCGAAACGUUAUUGGAGAGAUGACAGAAUGGUGAUGGCUGUAGCUAUCAAACUGUAAGAGUUUUGUGGAAGACUGGAGACAAUGUUUGGGAGGACAACAACAGAACCCUGAAAGUCAGAUCCUCUACGAGCAGGUGGUUGUCUCCUUCUGCUCAGAGCAGAGGGUCCUGUUGGGUAGAGGGCUCUGCUCGCACUGUGCAGAGGCAGGGCAGAGGGCCUGAAUCCUGAAACAGGAAAAUCCUCUAGACCACAGAAGAGACACUGUUUCUCCAGCGCUCUUUCUCUCUGCCUGUGCUCAGCCUUGUUCUUACGGCCCACUCACGGUAGACUGACUGAACAGGUUGGGUCUUUGGAGAUGGCCCAGUCGGUAAGGUACUGGCCAUUUAAGCAUGCUGUCUUGAUUUUAAAUCCCCAGUUGGGCAUGACAAGGCAUACUUAUAAAUCCCAGUGCCAAGGAGGCAGAGAUAGCCAAGUCACUGGAACUCACUGACCACCCAGUCUACCCAAAUUGGCGAGUACCAGGCUCAGUGAGAAACCCUGUCCCAAAAAAUAAGGUGGACAGGAAGAUGUCCAGUGUCAACCUC